AUCUGAAUUUGUAAUAGCUACUGCUCUAUUGCUUACGUUAGCAUGUUCUGUUUUACGACUGAUCUUUAGUAGCACACUUGGUUUUAAUAUAAUACUCUGCGUGGCUUUCUGUUUUAGAGGCUCCAAGCGCAUUUUGUAAGAAUUGAGUCAUACCAAUUCACUAAGUUGUGGUUUUUUGCUAGUAUGGCUUAUCUAACUUUUGAGGCCGCUGGACCCGCAACUUAUGAAAAGAAGUUUUACCCAGCAGCAGUUGUUUAUGUAAACUUUUAAAUAUAUCCAGGAAAAGGAACACGCCGCCCAUGAAAAAGGAAAUGUCAUCCAAGAAAACUGAAAUCCUAACGAUAACCAUCUCUACUCCUGUUUUUUUGAAAAUGUAUUUGGAGAAAAUGAAAGGGUUCAGUUGACGAAAGAAUGGCAAGAAUGUAUGGAUUUAGUGUGGAGAUGCAACGGAAAGGCUAAAAGCGUGGACUAGAGAAGUUCAAAAGAAUAUUUAGAUGCAAGUCAUUUUUGCGUUAUUUUUUCUUUUGCAAUUUAUAACUAGCUGAAUUGGAAUUUUCUUAAAAAUUAAAAUGGAAGAGUUUGGAUAUGUGCAAAAAUUAUAGUUAGAAAAUGUUUGAAAAUUUGAUAUUUAAGUUUGAUACGAUGAAUAAUCUUGGGAUUAGAUUGAUAGUGCUUAUCAUAUCUAUCUAAGAUUAUUCACCGCAGCAAAUUUCAUUGUCAAAAUUUUAAAUAUUUUAUUCACUAAAUUUUUUGCACAUAUCCAAACUUUUCCACUUUAAUUUCUAAGGGAAUUCCAAUUUAACUAGUUAUAAAUUGCUUUAGAAAAAAUAACGAAAAAAAGACUUACGUCUUAGCAUGCUUCUGAACGGGAGGAAGAUUCCCCUCUUUUCUCCAGUUUAUGCUUUUAGCGUUUCCGUUGCGUUUCCACACUGCAUCCAUACAUUCUUGCCACUCUUUCAUCAAUUGAAACUCUUCCAUUUUCUCUAAAUACAUUUUCCUGUAUAAAAGAAACUAAAAUUAUUAAUAAUUUUACUCUCUCAAAUGGUACUGCUUGUUCAAUCUUUUUAUCUUAUUUGGGAUUUCCCCCUUUUCGAAACAACUCAAAUCAAAAGCUCAUUGGCUAUUUUAGGAUUGCUUUCCCUUCGAGGGUUUUUCAAAUUCUGUUAACUUACAGAAAGCCGGAGUAAAGCUAGUUACCUCGUUAGGAAACAACUCAAAUCAAAAGCUCAUUGGCUAUUUUAGGAUUGCUUUCCCUUCGAGGGUUUUUCAAAUUCCGUUAACUUACAGAAAGCCGGAGUAAAGCUAGUUACCUCGUUAGGAUUUCAGUUUUCUUGGGCGGCAUUUUCGUUUUCCUUUUUAGUGGGCGGCGUUUUCGUUUUAAAUAUCAGUUUUUAUAUAAACUUUUAAAUGUUUCAGGAGUAUUUAUCCAAUAAUGGUGGAGACAUUAAAAAAAAUUGGCGAUAAAACCUAAGAAAUGGUGGAGAAAUAUCGAAGGCAUCCGCUACUAGUGGAGACUUGUGCAUCCCUAAAUGAAAUUGAGUGUAGUUGGUUAAUUUUUUUUCAUUUUUUCUCGUUUACGUUUUCUCUUUGCUUUUGUAGUUUCUUCCUUCGCUUGAAUGUUUAUUGAAGAAUGAAUUGUCAAUCUUUGUAACGUAAUUUAUCUCAACUUUCCUUUGGAUUAUAUGUGUUACAUAUUUAGUUUUCCUCACCUUUGCACUAUUAAGGGUGUUUUACGUGUUCGGAUUCUGUUUUGAUGGUUACCAUUGACUAUGGUAGUGUAUCGAGGAAUCUCCUGUUCUUAGAAAGUGCAA
Malus domestica (apple) is the source of this 1811-nucleotide non-coding RNA. The record is from RefSeq and is a predicted model, not a curated record. Lineage: Eukaryota; Viridiplantae; Streptophyta; Magnoliopsida; Rosales; Rosaceae.